RNAcentral lists this ribosomal RNA (429 nucleotides) under Pseudomonadota bacterium. RNAcentral describes it as "Proteobacteria bacterium partial 16S ribosomal RNA". It matches the Rfam family "Bacterial small subunit ribosomal RNA", at positions 355 to 776 of the family's 1533-position model. The record is from RNAcentral. Lineage: Bacteria; Pseudomonadati; Pseudomonadota.
UGGGGAAUAUUGGACAAUGGGCGAAAGCCUGAUCCAGCCAUGCCGCGUGUGUGAAGAAGGUCUUCGGAUUGUAAAGCACUUUAAGUUGGGAGGAAGGGCAGUAAGCGAAUACCUUGCUGUUUUGACGUUACCGACAGAAUAAGCACCGGCUAACUCUGUGCCAGCAGCCGCGGUAAUACAGAGGGUGCAAGCGUUAAUCGGAAUUACUGGGCGUAAAGCGCGCGUAGGUGGUUCGUUAAGUUGAAUGUGAAAGCCCCGGGCUCAACCUGGGAACUGCAUCCAAAACUGGCGAGCUAGAGUAGGGCAGAGGGUGGUGGAAUUUCCUGUGGAGCGGUGAAAUGCGUAGAUAUAGGAAGGAACACCAGUGGCGAAGGCGACCACCUGGGCUCAUACUGACACUGAAGUGCGAAAGCGUGGGGAGCAAACAGG